AGUGAACGCUGGCGGUAGGCCUAACACAUGCAAGUCGAACGGCAGCUCAGUAAGAGCUUGCUCUUACGGGUGGCGAGUGGCGGACGGGUGAGGAAUACAUCGGAAUCUACUUUUUCGUGGGGGAUAACGUAGGGAAACUUACGCUAAUACCGCAUACGACCUACGGGUGAAAGCAGGGGAUCUUCGGACCUUGCGCGAUUGAAUGAGCCGAUGUCGGAUUAGCUAGUUGGCGGGGUAAAGGCCCACCAAGGCGACGAUCCGUAGCUGGUCUGAGAGGAUGAUCAGCCACACUGGAACUGAGACACGGUCCAGACUCCUACGGGAGGCAGCAGUGGGGAAUAUUGGACAAUGGGCGCAAGCCUGAUCCAGCCAUACCGCGUGGGUGAAGAAGGCCUUCGGGUUGUAAAGCCCUUUUGUUGGGAAAGAAAAGCGGCAGGUUAAUACCCCGCUGUUCUGACGGUACCCAAAGAAUAAGCACCGGCUAACUUCGUG
This 492-nucleotide ribosomal RNA is filed under the name uncultured bacterium. RNAcentral describes it as "partial 16S ribosomal RNA". It matches the Rfam family "Bacterial small subunit ribosomal RNA", at positions 29 to 507 of the family's 1533-position model. The record is from RNAcentral.